This 323-nucleotide ribosomal RNA is filed under the name uncultured eukaryote. RNAcentral's name for it is "partial 18S ribosomal RNA". It matches the Rfam family "Eukaryotic small subunit ribosomal RNA", at positions 1470 to 1796 of the family's 1831-position model. The record is from RNAcentral.
CCCUUAGAUGUUCUGGGCCGCACGCGUGCUACACUGAACGGUUCAAUGGGUAAGGUAGUGCGAAAGCGUGACCUAAUCUCGAAAUCCGUUCGUGCUGGGGAUAGAAGCUUGCAAUUAUCCUUCUUGAACGAGGAAUACCUUGUAAGCGUGAGUCAUCAUCUCACGCUGAAUACGUCCCUGCCCUUUGUACACACCGCCCGUCGCUCCUACCGAUUGAGUGUUCCGGUGAGGCUUUGGGAGAAUGGCCUCAACAUGAGUUUAUCGUGUUUUGCCGUUUGAACUUAGUCAAACCUUAUCACUUAGAGGAAGGAGAAGUCGUAACA